This 228-nucleotide long non-coding RNA is filed under the name Eucalyptus grandis. RNAcentral describes it as "long non-coding RNA (EGRA_LNC005275)". Lineage: Eukaryota; Viridiplantae; Streptophyta; Magnoliopsida; Myrtales; Myrtaceae. The record is from RNAcentral.
GCAUACACCCCCUAUCUCACAUAAAGAACACUUGUGAGGGGUGGUCUCAUCAAGCCAGGUGUUGAGGGUCAUAGAGGGGGCGGUCUCAUCAAGCCGGGUAUCGAGGGUCAUAGAGGAGAAGAUCUUUGGCGUCAAAGGCUCGGAUUGCUAUCGUUCUGCUCCACGAAUCAUGGAUUCCAAAUCAGAUACGCAAAUCUUUGUUUUCUCUCUCAAGACGUUUGAGUUUCU